GUUGGAGGCCAAUCUCUCCUUCUACAAACUGGAUGACCUGCUGAUUGUAGAGACCUCCAGCGUGCGUGUGAUCUACAGCUUGACGGGGGAGGUGACUGUCACAGUGGGGGCCUGGUUGGCCAAUGAAUUGUGCGGCGCUUGUGGCCACCUCGGUGGCAGCGGUCUGGACCUGACCACUGUCAAUGGUGACCCAUGGAGGGCCAGAGAUUUCCCAAACUGUGACCUCGUAGAACCCUGAAACAGCUUUCCCUGGAGCUUCUGUAUUUGUAUGCUCUCAUAUGGGAUCAAUAAAGUAUCAUCUUGAUUUAUGCCUCUUUAUUACAUGAAGUGAAACAUGCACUACUGUACUCCUGUAAAUUUGGGUCUUCUGUUUUAUGAAACUGGGGAAAUCAAAGGGAAUUAAAUUUUACAUGGAAGUAAUCAGUCUGUAGUGUUGACAUCUGUAGUCCUUCACAAUAUGCAGCUACCAUUUUAGCUUCUGUUUUCUCAAUCUUCAAGCAAAUUGACAGUGUGCUCUAACACUAUUGUUGCUUUCUAAAGC
RNAcentral lists this long non-coding RNA (541 nucleotides) under Lepisosteus oculatus (spotted gar). RNAcentral describes it as "lncRNA (ENSLOCG00000023212.1)". The record is from RNAcentral. Lineage: Eukaryota; Metazoa; Chordata; Actinopteri; Semionotiformes; Lepisosteidae.